GCUGCAGCUGGUGUGAGAUGUUGGGACUGCUAUGCACUCUAUGCAUUGGGUAAAGCCGGCUCAAUUGGUAGUUGUUCUGAAAACUCGUUUCUGGCGGCUCGUGACUGUAUCCAUCAGGUGAUUCUGAUUUGGGAGAGGAGCAAGUAGAGACGGUGAAGGAAGGUCGUGUUUUGAUGGGAGCACGAAGAGCAGUAGCACUCUUGGAUGUGCGAAGAAUGCCAUUGAUGGCUUCAAUG
This is a long non-coding RNA of Arabidopsis thaliana (thale cress), 236 nucleotides long. RefSeq annotates it as other RNA. NCBI's taxonomy places the organism in Eukaryota, Viridiplantae, Streptophyta, Magnoliopsida, Brassicales, Brassicaceae. The transcript has a single exon. The record is from RefSeq.